AACGAACGCUGGCGGCAUGCCUAAUACAUGCAAGUCGAACGAUCACUUCGGUGGUAGUGGCGCACGGGUGCGUAACGCGUGGGAAUCUGCCCUUGGGUUCGGAAUAACGUCGGGAAACUGACGCUAAUACCGGAUGAUGACGUAAGUCCAAAGAUUUAUCGCCCAGGGAUGAGCCCGCGUAGGAUUAGCUAGUUGGUGGGGUAAAGGCCUACCAAGGCGACGAUCCUUAGCUGGUCUGAGAGGAUGAUCAGCCACACUGGGACUGAGACACGGCCCAGACUCCUACGGGAGGCAGCAGUAGGGAAUAUUGGACAGUGGGGGCAACCCUGAUCCAGCAGAGCCGCGUGAGUGAUGAAGGCCUUAGGGUUGUAAAGCUCUUUUACCCGGGAUGAUAAUGACAGUACCGGGAGAAUAAGCCCCGGCUAACUACGUGCCAGCCGCCGCGGUAA
RNAcentral lists this ribosomal RNA (449 nucleotides) under uncultured bacterium. RNAcentral describes it as "partial 16S ribosomal RNA". It matches the Rfam family "Bacterial small subunit ribosomal RNA", at positions 29 to 523 of the family's 1533-position model. The record is from RNAcentral.